UACGGAGGAUCCGAGAGUUAUCCGGAUUUAUUGGGUUUAAAGGGUGCGCAGGUUGUUUGAUAAGUCAGUGGUGAAAAACUGCCGCUCAACGGUAGUCUUGCCAUUGAUACUGUCUUUCUUGAGUAUGGAUGAGGUAGGCGGAAUGUGCAGUGUAGCGGUGAAAUGCAUAGAUAUUGCACGGAACACCAAUUGCGAAGGCAGCUUACUGGACCAUUACUGACGCUCAGGCACGAAAGCGUGGGGAUCAAACAGGA
Molecule: ribosomal RNA, 254 nt
Filed under: uncultured prokaryote
Description: partial 16S ribosomal RNA
Rfam family: Bacterial small subunit ribosomal RNA
Source: RNAcentral